UACAGAGGGUGCGAGCGUUAAUCGGAAUUACUGGGCGUAAAGCGUGCGUAGACGGCUAUCUAAGUCGGGUGUGAAAUCCCCGGGCUUAACCUGGGAACUGCAUUGGUGACUGGCAGGCUAGAGUAUGGCAGAGGGGGGUAGAAUUCCACGUGUGAGCAGUGAAAUGCGUAGAGAUGUGGAGGAAUACCCGAUGGCGAAGGCAGCCCCCUGG
RNAcentral lists this ribosomal RNA (211 nucleotides) under uncultured bacterium. RNAcentral describes it as "partial 16S ribosomal RNA". It matches the Rfam family "Bacterial small subunit ribosomal RNA", at positions 524 to 732 of the family's 1533-position model. The record is from RNAcentral.